Molecule: transfer RNA, 74 nt
Filed under: Apaloderma vittatum (bar-tailed trogon)
Lineage: Eukaryota; Metazoa; Chordata; Aves; Trogoniformes; Trogonidae
Rfam family: tRNA
About the family: Transfer RNA (tRNA) molecules are approximately 80 nucleotides in length.
Source: Rfam by way of RNAcentral
GUGCCCAUAGCUCACUCAGUUCGAGUGUGGUGCUGAUAACGCCAAGGUCGUGGGUUCGAUCCCCGUUGGGUCCC